UACGUAGGUGGCAAGCGAUACUCGGAAUCACUAGGCGUAAAGCGCAGGUAGGAGGUUUGGAAAGUCUGUUGUGAAAGCUCCCGGCUUAACUGGGAGAGGUCAACGGAAACUGCCAGGCUAGAGUGCGGUAGAGGUAGCUGGAAUUCCCGGUGUAGCGGUGAAAUGCGUAGAUAUCGGGAGGAAUACCUAUGGCGAAAGCAGGCUACUGGACCGUCACUGACUCUGAUCUGCGAAAGCUAGGGGAGCAAACAGG
Molecule: ribosomal RNA, 253 nt
Filed under: uncultured bacterium
Lineage: Bacteria
Description: partial 16S ribosomal RNA
Rfam family: Bacterial small subunit ribosomal RNA
Source: RNAcentral